ACAAUAACAUCGGGAUCGAAGUCGGGCUCGAUGAACAAUUAAUUAAAACAACACUCUGAAAUUCAAAAAUAUCGAAUGCCAUGUUGAUGUUUCAGAGAAGGAAAGUUGGAAAGAGGGUGUCUAGAACAGGGGAAUCAUGAUUAGCGUUGGAUGGAAGAAGAUAAAGACAUUUUAAGUCCCAUUGCUGCAUUGUGCCUGAGAUGAUCUUCACAGCGAUGGCAUUUGGUAACUUGGACAAGUUGGUGGAUGUAGAUGCUUAGCCAAUCAGUGACUAGGCUUGUGAAUAUGGAAUCCGGAUGCUCACAAGGACAAGAGCUGUAUGAAAAAAAACCCCAACAG
Saccostrea cuccullata (small rock oyster) is the source of this 339-nucleotide long non-coding RNA. RefSeq lists it as uncharacterized. The transcript has 3 exons. Lineage: Eukaryota; Metazoa; Mollusca; Bivalvia; Ostreida; Ostreidae. The record is from RefSeq and is a predicted model, not a curated record.